This 253-nucleotide ribosomal RNA is filed under the name uncultured bacterium. RNAcentral's name for it is "partial 16S ribosomal RNA". It matches the Rfam family "Bacterial small subunit ribosomal RNA", at positions 524 to 776 of the family's 1533-position model. The record is from RNAcentral.
UACAGAGGUGGCAAGCGUUGUUCGGAAUUACUGGGCGUAAAGGGCGCGUAGGCGGUCCCGUCAGUCCCUUGUGAAAUCCCCCGGCUCAACUGGGGAACUGCAAGGGAUACAGCGGGGCUUGAGUUCGGGAGAGGGAAGCGGAAUUCCGGGUGUAGCGGUGAAAUGCGCAGAUAUCGGGAAGAACACCCGUGGCUAAGGCGGCUCUCUGGUCCGAAACUGACGCUGAGGUGCGAAAGCUAGGGUAGCAAACAGG